This 862-nucleotide ribosomal RNA is filed under the name uncultured bacterium. Its description in RNAcentral is "bacterial SSU rRNA". It matches the Rfam family "Bacterial small subunit ribosomal RNA", at positions 51 to 904 of the family's 1533-position model. The record is from RNAcentral.
ACACAUGCAAGUCGAGGGGAAACGACAUCGAAAGCUUGCUUUUGAUGGGCGUCGACCGGCGCACGGGUGAGUAACGCGUAUCCAACCUGCCCACCACUUGGGGAUAACCUUGCGAAAGUAAGACUAAUACCCAAUGACGUCUCUAGAAGACAUCUGAAAGGGAUUAAAGAUUUAUCGGUGAUGGAUGGGGAUGCGUCUGAUUAGCUUGUUGGCGGGGUAACGGCCCACCAAGGCUACGAUCAGUAGGGGUUCUGAGAGGAAGGUCCCCCACAUUGGAACUGAGACACGGUCCAAACUCCUACGGGAGGCAGCAGUGAGGAAUAUUGGUCAAUGGACGAGAGUCUGAACCAGCCAAGUAGCGUGCAGGAUGACGGCCCUAUGGGUUGUAAACUGCUUUUAUAAGGGAAUAAAGUGAGCCUCGUGAGGCUUUUUGCAUGUACCUUAUGAAUAAGGACCGGCUAAUUCCGUGCCAGCAGCCGCGGUAAUACGGAAGGUCCGGGCGUUAUCCGGAUUUAUUGGGUUUAAAGGGAGCGUAGGCCGGAGAUUAAGCGUGUUGUGAAAUGUAGAUGCUCAACAUCUGCACUGCAGCGCGAACUGGUUUCCUUGAGUACGCACAAAGUGGGCGGAAUUCGUGGUGUAGCGGUGAAAUGCUUAGAUAUCACGAAGAACUCCGAUUGCGAAGGCAGCUCACUGGAGCGCAACUGACGCUGAAGCUCGAAAGUGCGGGUAUCGAACAGGAUUAGAUACCCUGGUAGUCCGCACGGUAAACGAUGGAUGCCCGCUGUUGGUCUGAAUAGGUCAGCGGCCAAGCGAAAGCAUUAAGCAUCCCACCUGGGGAGUACGCCGGCACGGUGAAACUCAA